ACAGUAUAGGACCCUUAACGGAUACUAUAAUUGCAAUGAGAACAAUUCAAAAACCUUAACGAUAAACAAUUGGAGGGCAAGCCUGGUGCCAGCAGCCGCGGUAAUUCCAGCUCCAAUAGCGUAUAUUAAUGUUGUUGCAGUUAAAAAGCUCGUAGUUGGAUUUCGGAGAGCACUAGGGUCGCGGUCCAGCGCAAUGCCGUGUUUACCGCACCUAGGCCUCCUCCUUUCAAACGCGAGCCCCAUUCCUUAACUGGUUUGGGUGUUUUCUCGCUUUGGAACGUUUACUUUGAAAAAAUUAGAGUGUUUAAAGCAGGCGUAAACCUAGCCUUUGAAUACAUUAGCAUGGGAUAAUGGAAUAGGAUUGUGGUGCCUAUUUUCCGUUGGUUUCUAGUGUCUACAAUAAUGAUUAAAAGGGACAGUCGGGGGUAUUAGUAUUUAGUUGUCAGAGGUGAAAUUCUAAGAUUUACUAAGGACUGACUACUGCGAAAGCAUUUACCAAGGAUGUUUUCAUUAAUCAAGAACGAAAGUUGGGGGAUCGAAGACGAUUAGAUACCGUCGUAGUCCUAACCUUAAACGAUGCCGACCAGGAAUUCGGAAAAGUUACAUGGAUGACUUUCCGGGCGCCUUGUGAGAAAUCACAAGUAUUCGGGCUCCGGGGGGAGUAUGGUCGCAAGGCUGAAACUUAAAGGAAUUGACGGAAGGGCACCACCAGGCGUGGAACCUGCGGCUUAAUUUGACCCAACACGGGAAAACUUACCAGGACAAGACACGGGAAUGAUUGACAGAUUAAAAGCUCUUUCAUGAUUCCGUGGGUGGUGGUGCAUGGCCGUUUCCAGUUGGUGGAGUGAUUUGUCAGGUUAAUUCCGAUAACGAACGAGACCUUAGCCUGCUAAAUAGUAGUGCCAAAUGCGUGGCCUUCGGGCUUUGCCUUGGCAUAUACUUCUUAGAGGGACCGCGAGAUCAAAGCUCGCGGAAGCUUGAGGCCAAAACAGGUCUGUGAUGCCCCUAGAUGCCCUGGGCUGCACGCGCGUUACACUGAUGCAUUCAACGAGUUUUUAUCCUUGCCCGAAAGGGCCGGGUAAUCUUAUGAAAGUGCAUCGUGCUUGGGAUAGACGAUUGCAAUUAUUCGUCUUGAACGAGGAAUGCCUAGUAAUCGCAAGUCAUCAACUUGCGCUGAUUACGUCCCUGCCCUUUGUACACACCGCCCGUCGCUCCUACCGAUUGAAUGGUCCGGCAAGAGCUUCGGAUAGUCGGGUGGCGGCCCUGCCCACCGGCGGGGACGCCCCUGCGCUAAAAGUUGUU
This 1302-nucleotide ribosomal RNA is filed under the name metagenome. RNAcentral describes it as "SSU rRNA". It matches the Rfam family "Eukaryotic small subunit ribosomal RNA", at positions 477 to 1759 of the family's 1831-position model. The record is from RNAcentral.